Molecule: ribosomal RNA, 199 nt
Filed under: uncultured bacterium
Lineage: Bacteria
Description: partial 16S ribosomal RNA
Rfam family: Bacterial small subunit ribosomal RNA
Source: RNAcentral
CUCCUACGCGAGGCAGCAGUGGGGAAUCUUGCGCAAUGGACGAAAGUCUGACGCAGCCACGCCGCGUGAGUGAAGAAGGCCUUCGGGUUGUAAAGCUCUGUCGGGCGGGACGAAAAUACUUCGGGUUAAUACCCCGAGGAGUUGACGGUACCGCCAAAGGAAGCACCGGCUAACUUCGUGCCAGCCGCCGCGGUAAUAC